Molecule: non-coding RNA, 114 nt
Filed under: Arthrobacter sp.
Lineage: Bacteria; Bacillati; Actinomycetota; Actinomycetes; Micrococcales; Micrococcaceae
Description: SAM-IV sequence
Rfam family: SAM (S-adenosyl methionine) riboswitch aptamer
About the family: SAM-IV is a mRNA element that regulates gene expression via direct sensing of S-adenosylmethionine (SAM or AdoMet). SAM-IV riboswitches share conserved nucleotide positions with the previously described SAM-I riboswitches sequence analysis and molecular recognition experiments suggest that SAM-I and SAM-IV riboswitches share similar ligand binding sites, but have different scaffolds.
Source: RNAcentral
GUUCAAGAGCUGCGACGCAAAGUACCUGGCUGGUCGCACGGCAACCCUCCUCAUCGAGCGGGGUGCCCCAGGGGAAGAACCGACCCGGACAAAAGUCCCGGGUAAGUCGGUGGG